RNAcentral lists this ribosomal RNA (440 nucleotides) under uncultured bacterium. RNAcentral describes it as "partial 16S ribosomal RNA". It matches the Rfam family "Bacterial small subunit ribosomal RNA", at positions 338 to 795 of the family's 1533-position model. The record is from RNAcentral.
CCUACGGGCGGCAGCAGUGGGGGAUAUUGCACAAUGGGGGGAACCCUGAUGCAGCGACGCCGCGUGGGUGAAGGAGCGUUUCGGCGCGUAAAGCCCUAUCGGCAGGGAAGAAGAUGACGGUACCUGACCAAGAAGCCCCGGCUAACUACGUGCCAGCAGCCGCGGUAAUACGUAGGGGGCAAGCGUUAUCCGGAUUUACUGGGUGUAAAGGGGGCGCAGACGGCAAUGCAAGCCAGGAGUGAAAGCCCGGGGCCCAACCCCGGGACUGCUCUUGGAACUGCAUGGCUGGAGUACAGGAGGGGCAGGCGGAAUUCCUAGUGUAGCGGUGAAAUGCGUAGAUAUAUGGAGGAACACCAGUGGCGAAGGCGACGAUCUGGCCUGCAACUGACGCUCAGUCCCGAAAGCGUGGGGAGCAAAUAGGAUUAGAUACCCUAGUAGUC